GAUGAACGCUGGCGGCGUGCCUAAUACAUGCAAGUCGAGCGAACGGACGAGAAGCUUGCUUCUCUGAUGUUAGCGGCGGACGGGUGAGUAACACGUGGAUAACCUACCUAUAAGACUGGGAUAACUUCGGGAAACCGUAGCUAAUACCGGAUAAUAUUUUGAACCGCAUGGUUCAAAAGUGAAAGACGGUCUUGCUGUCACUUAUAGAUGGAUCCGCGCUGCAUUAGCUAGUUGGUAAGGUAACGGCUUACCAAGGCAACGAUGCAUAGCCGACCUGAGAGGGUGAUCGGCCACACUGGAACUGAGACACGGUCCAGACCCCUACGGGAGGCAGCAGUAGGGAAUCUUCCGCAAUGGGCGAAAGCCUGACGGAGCAACGCCGCGUGAGUGAUGAAGGUCUUCGGAUCGUAAAACUCUGUUAUUAGGGAAGAACAUAUGUGUAAGUAACUGUGCACAUCUUGACGGUACCUAAUCAGAAAGCCACGGCUAACUACGU
RNAcentral lists this ribosomal RNA (496 nucleotides) under uncultured bacterium. RNAcentral's name for it is "partial 16S ribosomal RNA". It matches the Rfam family "Bacterial small subunit ribosomal RNA", at positions 28 to 506 of the family's 1533-position model. The record is from RNAcentral.